GGAGUUGGGGGUCAAAGAAACAAAAAUCAUGUAAGCAGUUGAACAUUUCCUCAUAAAUUUCUAUAAUAUUCUCCACCCAAUUCAUUUCUUUGGGAAAUGAAAUAUAAGUAUAUAUUAGAGUUGUCAAUUGGUCAGCCCAAAAAAUGGAACGAUUUAGACAAAAAUAUAAAUCUGAAAAAUGAGAUUGGAUAAAAAAAAAUAAGGCUCAUUUAGAAAAUGGGUUGGGCUCGAGUAAGGUUUUUUG
Molecule: long non-coding RNA, 244 nt
Filed under: Gossypium barbadense (sea-island cotton)
Lineage: Eukaryota; Viridiplantae; Streptophyta; Magnoliopsida; Malvales; Malvaceae
Description: long non-coding RNA (GBAR_LNC013972)
Source: RNAcentral